This 583-nucleotide long non-coding RNA is filed under the name Mustela putorius furo (domestic ferret). Its description in RNAcentral is "lncRNA (ENSMPUG00000025134.1)". The record is from RNAcentral. Lineage: Eukaryota; Metazoa; Chordata; Mammalia; Carnivora; Mustelidae.
AACCCAUCAUUUAAGAUCAUCUCAACUUACCCAUUCUUUACCUUUGUUCUUCUGCCUUUAUAGUUUGCCACGCACUCCAAGGGGGUGGAUUUCCUGAGGAACUGAGUUAAGUACCACCUCCUUUCCUCCUUACGCUACGGAAUCUUGCCAUCUGGCCAUGGAGGGAAGUCAAGCAGACAGUGUGUUGAGUGCCUUAUCCACCCCUCCACUGCUCUGUGUGAAGUCUAUCUUUGACUCAUUGGUGGGAAGAUGGAAAAUGUGGUGUGGCUACCGGAAAAUUGAAAAUUACAUAUAUGGUUCCCAGUGUGUAUUCCUAUUGGACAACUCUGAUGUAGAAUACAAGUCUUGCCUCUCUGCCGAGUGUUCUCUGCAUCCUGCACCGAAAGGGAGAAUGUCAAAAGAUGUAUAGUUUAUACCUUCCAUAGAUAAUGGAGGAUUGUUUAUUGCAUAAUUGCACAUAGAUAUUCAUGCCUGAGGUGUCUCCUUGGAGUUAUUUUUUGCUGUUAUGCAUCAUUACUACUAAGGGUCAAGUUGUUCUUCUUGCCUCCUCCUCAGGAAGACUUAGAACAAAAAAUAAAUAAGC